RNAcentral lists this ribosomal RNA (777 nucleotides) under uncultured bacterium. RNAcentral describes it as "bacterial SSU rRNA". It matches the Rfam family "Bacterial small subunit ribosomal RNA", at positions 105 to 895 of the family's 1533-position model. The record is from RNAcentral.
GCGGAGUAAUACAUAAGCAACGUGCCCGGAAGACUGGGAUAGCCGAGGGAAACCACGAGUAAUACCAGAUGUGGCCCGAGAGAGCAUCUCUUUCGGAUUAAAUCGAGCAAUCGGCUUCUGGAGCGGCUUAUGUCCUAUCAGCUUGUUGGUGGGGUAACGGCCUACCAAGGCUACGACGGGUAGGGGGUCUGAGAGGAUGAUCCCCCCGAGUGGGACUGAGACACGGCCCACACACCUACGGGUGGCAGCAGUUGGGAAUCUUGCACAAUGGGGGAAACCCUGGUGCAGCGACGCCGCGUGGAGGACGAAGGAUCUAGGUCUGUAAACUCCUUUUGUCGGGAAAGACUUAGGACGGUACCCGACGAAUAAGCCCCGGCUAACUACGUGCCAGCAGCCGCGGUAAGACGUAGGGGGCGAGCGCUGUCCGGAUUUACUGGGCGUAAAGGGCGCGUAGGCGGCUUGCUAAGUGAGAAGUGAAAUCUCCAGGGCUCAACCCGGAAACUGCUUUUCAUACUGGCAGGCUAGAGGAGCGCAGAGGUGACUGGAAUUCCCGGUGUAGCGGUGAAAUGCAUUGAUAUCGGGAGGAACUCCAACGGCGAAGGCAGGUCACUGGGCGCCCCCUGACGCUGAGGCGCGAAAGCGUGGGUAGCAAACAGGAUUAGAUACCCUGGUAGUCCACGCCCUAAACGAUGGGUGCUAGACGUUGGAGGUAUCGACCCCUCCAGUGUCGCAGCUAACGCACUAAGCAUCCCGCCUGGGGAGUACGGCCGCAAGGUU